RNAcentral lists this ribosomal RNA (484 nucleotides) under uncultured bacterium. Its description in RNAcentral is "partial 16S ribosomal RNA". It matches the Rfam family "Bacterial small subunit ribosomal RNA", at positions 30 to 507 of the family's 1533-position model. The record is from RNAcentral.
AUUGAACGCUGGCGGCAGGCCUAACACAUGCAAGUCGAGCGGAUGAAGGGAGCUUGCUCCUGGAUUCAGCGGCGGACGGGUGAGUAAUGCCUAGGAAUCUGCCUGGUAGUGGGGGAUAACGUCCGGAAACGGGCGCUAAUACCGCAUACGUCCUGAGGGAGAAAGUGGGGGAUCUUCGGACCUCACGCUAUCAGAUGAGCCUAGGUCGGAUUAGCUAGUUGGUGGGGUAAAGGCCUACCAAGGCGACGAUCCGUAACUGGUCUGAGAGGAUGAUCAGUCACACUGGAACUGAGACACGGUCCAUACUCCUACGGGAGGCAGCAGUGGGGAAUAUUGGACAAUGGGCGAAAGCCUGAUCCAGCCAUGCCGCGUGUGUGAAGAAGGUCUUCGGAUUGUAAAGCACGUUAAGUUGGGAGGAAGGGCAGUAAGUUAAUACCUUGCUGUUUUGACGUUACCAACAGAAUAAGCACCGGCUAACUACGUG